Molecule: long non-coding RNA, 318 nt
Organism: Pelmatolapia mariae (spotted tilapia)
Lineage: Eukaryota; Metazoa; Chordata; Actinopteri; Cichliformes; Cichlidae
Exons: 3
Source: RefSeq, a predicted model, not a curated record
UCAGUUCAUGAACAAACAUUCUAUUUUCACUUUUAGGAUAUACACAGAGGAUUAUUUGGUGCCAGUCAGACUGUGAGGACUGCUCACAAAAACACUGCUGAUUUCUUUCACCUGAAUUCAUCUCAUCACUUUUGCAGACACCAUGGGUGCUCGACAGUCCGCCAUUCAUAUUACCAACAAGACUGAGGGCUACACCCUUCGUAACCCCAGGUGACUACACUUUUGUUCUUCUGUGUUUACUGUGGUGGUUUCUAAAGUGGGCGGGAUUUAUCUGUAACCCUAGAUCUGCAUCUUGUUAGCGGACUCUGCCAGAUUCCU